This 272-nucleotide ribosomal RNA is filed under the name uncultured prokaryote. RNAcentral's name for it is "partial 16S ribosomal RNA". It matches the Rfam family "Bacterial small subunit ribosomal RNA", at positions 524 to 796 of the family's 1533-position model. The record is from RNAcentral.
UACGUAGGGAGCGAGCGUUAUCCGGAAUUAUUGGGCGUAAAGCGUGCGUAGGCGGCCUAUUAAGUCAAAUGUGAAAGCCCACAGCUCAACUGUGGAGGGUCAUUUGAAACUGGUAAGCUAGAGUACGGCAGAGGUUAGUGGAAUUCAAUGUGUAGCGGUAAAAUGCGUUGAUAUAUUGAGGAACACCAGUGGCGAAGGCGGCUAACUGGACCGGAACUGACGCUGAGGCACGAAAGCGUGGGGAGCAAACAGGAUUAGAUACCGUGUAGUCC